ACAACAAUAAAGAAAGAAGGAAAAGAAAGAAAAACAGAAGGGAAGGUACACAAUGCUCAGAACAAAUCUGGUAGAAGACGGAAGCAGAGGAACAUGGUGGAGAACAAUUUCUCUAGGUACGUUGUCGCCUGAUAGAAGCUCAAAUAGGUCCAUAUUGGAUCUUUGCAAUCUUAAUUUUUUUUGGUGUUACGCAGCACACAAAUAGCAUUCUAUACUCACAACAAGAUGAACAUUUAAUGAUAUCAGGACUCUUAACAAAGAAAAAUCAGGACUGAUAACUAGCUGGAGUAGUUUAGAUUUAAAGAGAAUAGAAAGAUGGAACUAUAAUUUGGCAUUCAUGCUCACCGUGUUCACGUUGCUGGCAUUGGAAUAAA
RNAcentral lists this long non-coding RNA (374 nucleotides) under Phoenix dactylifera (date palm). RNAcentral describes it as "long non-coding RNA (PDAC_LNC006784)". The record is from RNAcentral. Lineage: Eukaryota; Viridiplantae; Streptophyta; Magnoliopsida; Arecales; Arecaceae.